Molecule: ribosomal RNA, 453 nt
Filed under: uncultured organism
Description: partial 16S ribosomal RNA
Rfam family: Bacterial small subunit ribosomal RNA
Source: RNAcentral
GUACACUCCUACGGGAGGCAGCAGUGGGGAAUAUUGGACAAUGGGCGCAAGCCUGAUCCAGCCAUGCCGCGUGAGUGAUGAAGGCCCUAGGGUUGUAAAGCUCUUUCACCGGUGAAGAUAAUGACGGUAACCGGAGAAGAAGCCCCGGCUAACUUCGUGCCAGCAGCCGCGGUAAUACGAAGGGGGCUAGCGUUGUUCGGAUUUACUGGGCGUAAAGCGCACGUAGGCGGACUAUUAAGUCAGGGGUGAAAUCCCGGGGCUCAACCCCGGAACUGCCUUUGAUACUGGUAGUCUUGAGGUCGAGAGAGGUGAGUGGAAUUCCGAGUGUAGAGGUGAAAUUCGUAGAUAUUCGGAGGAACACCAGUGGCGAAGGCGGCUCACUGGCUCGAUACUGACGCUGAGGUGCGAAAGCGUGGGGAGCAAACAGGAUUAGAAACCCUGGUAGUCCCAUGA